This is a long non-coding RNA of Chenopodium quinoa (quinoa), 681 nucleotides long. RefSeq lists it as uncharacterized. The transcript is spliced from 2 exons. The record is from RefSeq and is a predicted model, not a curated record. Lineage: Eukaryota; Viridiplantae; Streptophyta; Magnoliopsida; Caryophyllales; Amaranthaceae.
AAAAUUAGUUCAACGAGAGUAUGCAAUUACCCUCUUCAUUCGCCCAUUGCUUACAGUGUAGAGUCUGUAAGACAAAAAAUUGAAAUAUGCACUACUUUAGCUUGCUGCCGUUCAAACCCCAAAAACCCAGCAAAAUUAACUAUUCAAACCCCAAUCAAUUCGAACUCAGAACCCAAAAAAUUCAACUAGCAACCGAAAUCCCCAGUAAUUUUGAGCCAAAUCCUCCCUAACUCGAGCAAUCCGAGCAGAAAUUCCUCAUUCUCGAGCAAAAAUCAAACCCAAAACCCCCAGAAAUUUCAAACCCGUUCAAAACCCCAAAACCCCAGCAAUUUUCGACCCCAAUCCAAUAAAUUCGACUCCCAAAACCCAACAAAUUCGAUCAACAACUGAAAACCCCCAUUUCUCUCUCUUCCUCUCUCAUCUGCUCACUAUCUCCAUCACUCUACCUCCGCCACCGUUGUCGUCGCUCAUGUCGCCAGAUUCAUUGAACUCCGGCGCCGAUUCCUCUACAUACCUGUUGCUGAUAUGUUGAAGCCAUUGAUGCUGUUGUUGCUGCUACUGUUGUUAAAUGUUCUUAUUAAUGCUAAUCCCAACUUUGUACAAUUAAAAUACUUUCUGUUGGGAUAAAAUUGUAAUAUUUAUUACAAUAAUUAUUAUUGAAAAUAUUUAAGUUAAUAUAUG